Long non-coding RNA from Hemicordylus capensis (graceful crag lizard), 1444 nucleotides. RefSeq lists it as uncharacterized. The transcript has 4 exons. Lineage: Eukaryota; Metazoa; Chordata; Lepidosauria; Squamata; Cordylidae. The record is from RefSeq and is a predicted model, not a curated record.
GGAGCCAUUUUAUGGCUUGUUUUUGCACUAACUCAAACUAUUUUCCAUGAUUUUCCAGAGUUUUCGAGACAUUUCAUCCAUUUGGGGACAUUCCUGGGCACAUGGGGGACCCGUGCAGCACACCACAGGACUGGACAAGCUGUUACAGCAUGUAAGAUAAUAAACAGAAGGCCAAGGAUAGCAUUUAAUUACAAAUAAUUUAACACUGAUGAGCUGAAGGAAGCUAUUAAGUGAAUUACAUUCUCCAGCCUCAAAUGUAAAUGCAGAGGGAUUGUUUUCAUGUUCCAAGAACGUAUUUUUCUAAGUGAUGACAUUUAAUGGAAGGAGCAUCUAGAAAUGGCAGUUUCAUGGCAGAAAUGCAAUCUGCAUAAUGGCUUAUACAGAUUUUUCCUACAAUCAUACACAGCACCCACAUAGAAACAAAUAUCCUGUGCAUGCGAAGUGGCCCCAGUAGCAAGUACCAGCAGAAGUCAUGAACAUAGCAAGGACAAUGGGUGCAGUCCCUAUCUAAAAGAGACAGUCAACCCACAACAGAUUGCAGAAAUCACUACUCAAGAUAAUCAGGGAGCAGGUAACUGAAGCAAGGUCUCCAAAUUCCAGGAAUGAGUGUAGUUGGCGUACCAGGACCUUUUCCAAAUGGCAAUUGAAUGCAGCUUCUCUAACUCGGCAGGAGUUCAUACAAGGGAACCAUUUACAGUGAUGUCAGGACAGCAGCAGAAGGUACCGUUCAUACAGCUGAUGGCAUUAUUCAGGUUUGUUCCUGAUGUUUUGCAGCUACUGUGCAUUAUACACAUCCUAAAAAGGUAGCACUUUGGUGCAGAGCUCAAAGUGGCUUAACCUUGGGCACUUCCUGCUGCAGUAAAACUGCCCAUCUGAGAAAGCUUCAGUCAAAACUGGGGAAAAUGAAAUCCUGGCCAUGACCAUGGCUACCACCUUGAAAUUCAGAAGCCAUGUUGGAUCUAGGAGAGCUCCCAAACUCUAAACCCAAUCAACCAGACCUCUAACCAUCAUCAUGUCCAUCUGAUCUGGAUAAAACUUAGUUUUUUGUCCCUUUAUGGGGAUCUACAGAGGACUAGUUUUAGGAAUACUGCUCUGGGAUUCUGGUCUUGUUCAGUUGUAUUGAUUCAUUUCUCUAACUUGCCAGCAAUGGAUCUAUUGCUCUCUAGUCGUUCUUUUAGGUGCUGCCCAACUGCUUCGAUACCAGCAUUUCUUCCAGGCCUCCUUUUAGUUAGCCCUUACUUGAGGAAAACACUUCUGCAAGCUCAUUAAUGGAGCAAACAUCUGCAACUGCAUUCAGAAUUCAUUCCAACAGCUAUGAAUAAGUAAUGCUCCUGACUCCAAACAGUUUAACUAAAAUGCUUAUUUGAAUAAAAAGUAGGAAAUGUUUAAAAGUCAUUUAGUAAUUGAGGUUUCGGAGGCUUCAGUAAUGCACAGCAAAAAUAUA